Molecule: ribosomal RNA, 255 nt
Filed under: uncultured bacterium
Lineage: Bacteria
Description: partial 16S ribosomal RNA
Rfam family: Bacterial small subunit ribosomal RNA
Source: RNAcentral
UACGUAGGGGGCAAGCGUUGUCCGGAUUUAUUGGGUUUAAAGGGUGCGUAGGCGGUCUUAUAAGUCAGUGCUGAAAUAUCCCGGCUUAACCGGGAGGGUGGCAUUGAUACUGUAGGACUUGAGUAGAGUUGAGGUUGGCGGAAUUGACGGUGUAGCGGUGAAAUGCUUAGAUAUCGUCAAGAACACCGAUAGUGAAGACAGCUAACUAAGCUCUAACUGACGCUGAGGCACGAAAGUGUGGGGGAUCAAAACAGG